CCAGUCACCAGGCAGUUCACGCAGCCAUGGUGGUAAGGAGACCACAGCAGACUGAGCUGAAAGUGAGGCAGCCUUCACUGGAAGGAGCAUGGUUUCCUUCUCAUAGCUGGAGGACAGUAUCAAACAAAUUACAAGGACAAGAAUUAGGAAUGAUGAGGGGUAGAAGAAUGCAUGAACAUACACACACCCCAGGCUUACAAAGCAGCCAAUCUACCAUGUUCUACAAAGAUUUAAGGAGGCCAACAGCUCUGCCAACACCAUCCUGAGAGUUGCACCAGGAACACAGCUUGCCAUGAAAAUGAAAUAAAAAUAGUACUAGA
RNAcentral lists this long non-coding RNA (320 nucleotides) under Fukomys damarensis (Damara mole-rat). RNAcentral's name for it is "lncRNA (ENSFDAG00000025633.1)". The record is from RNAcentral. Lineage: Eukaryota; Metazoa; Chordata; Mammalia; Rodentia; Bathyergidae.